This 211-nucleotide ribosomal RNA is filed under the name uncultured bacterium. Its description in RNAcentral is "partial 16S ribosomal RNA". It matches the Rfam family "Bacterial small subunit ribosomal RNA", at positions 568 to 774 of the family's 1533-position model. The record is from RNAcentral.
UACCGAUAGGUGGUUUUACAAGUCAGAAGUGAAAUCUCUCAGCUUAACUGGGAGAAUGUCUUUUGAAACUGUAAAACUAGAGGGGCAAAGAGGAAGCCGGAACAAGCGGUGUAGUAGUGAAAUGCGUUGAUAUCGCUUGGAACACCGAUAGCGUAGGCAGGCUUCUGGGUGCCACCUGACACUGCUAGGACGAAAGCGUGGGGAGCGAAUG